CCAAAUUUUGGGGUGCCUUGUCAGGGCAAUCACUGGAAGUGUCUCACAUGCAACAAUUUUAAAAUGCUUCUUACAUGAGUCACUGAGAGAUGACUGCCAUUGGCAAUAUGUGUACAUUAGUCAAGUUGCAAAGAAAAUACUAGCUUAAUUUAUUCAGUUGGUUGGUUUCUGUAAUUCCUGAAUACAUUGAGCUAUAAUAUCAUAGGAAAAUGGUACCUCAUUAUGUUUCCCAGGCUGCUCUCAAACUCCUGCGUUCAGGUGAUCCUCCCGCUUCUGCCUCCCAAAGUGCUAGGAUCACAGGAGUGAGCCACCGCACCCAGCAAAAGGAUUAUUUUGGUAUUGAACUUUUCACGCUUUCUAUGUAAAUCCUGCUUAAGUUUUGAUGGUUUCAAAGCAUAAUUAUACUCGGGAGAUUGAGGCAGGAGAAUCACUUGAACCAGGGAGUCGGAGGUUGCAGUUAGCCAAGAUUGUGCCACUGCACUCCAGCCUGGACGAGAGUGAGAUUUCAUCUCAAAAAAAAAAAAAAAGC
This 529-nucleotide long non-coding RNA is filed under the name Pan troglodytes (chimpanzee). Its description in RNAcentral is "long non-coding RNA NONPTRT007564". The record is from RNAcentral. Lineage: Eukaryota; Metazoa; Chordata; Mammalia; Primates; Hominidae.